RNAcentral lists this small nucleolar RNA (136 nucleotides) under Neogobius melanostomus (round goby). RNAcentral describes it as "Small nucleolar RNA SNORA5 (ENSNMLG00000016180.1)". It matches the Rfam family "Small nucleolar RNA SNORA5". Rfam says of the family: ACA5 is a member of the H/ACA class of snoRNA that guide the sites of modification of uridines to pseudouridines. Lineage: Eukaryota; Metazoa; Chordata; Actinopteri; Gobiiformes; Gobiidae. The record is from Rfam by way of RNAcentral.
UGCAGCCUUGUCAAAUUCAGUGCUCCGUCUCCAGUCGGUGCCACUGGCCAAAAUGGCUGCCACAGUGAAGUGUAGCUCAUGGGCCCCGUUGGUUUAUUCACAACCUUCUGGGGAUAAAUAUGUGCUACACACAGCU